GCAGGGGGCAGUAAAACCCUAUGGACCUGAAAGGGAAUGUGAGGAGUAAAAAUCAAAGGUGAAGGUGUGUCAAAUGGAAGGGCAAGUCUCACCACUGAGAGGAAAACAUCACUGGUCCACCUCUGCAUCAGGUCAGCUAUGUUGAUCAGUACUGUCCCAGGGAUGCUGGGAGCAGAGAUGAACUCCCCUGACCUGGUACCACCUAUGGAGUUGUCAUUUUAAUAUCAGUUUAACCCCAUUACUGCUAUAACACAUAAACCAUGUUAAUAG
Oncorhynchus mykiss (rainbow trout) is the source of this 270-nucleotide non-coding RNA. The record is from RefSeq and is a predicted model, not a curated record. NCBI's taxonomy places the organism in Eukaryota, Metazoa, Chordata, Actinopteri, Salmoniformes, Salmonidae.